UUUGAUUAACCUGCAUAAUGAUUUUGAGUAUAAAAGAGAUUUCAGAAUUCAAACAAGGAAAAUCAUUAUGCAGAUGAAAAAUUGAUUUUAUUAUGGUGUUGGAUCAUUAUGUUCAAUGGGUUUGAUUAACCUGCAUAAUGAUUUUGAGUAUAAAAGAGAUUUCAGAAUUCAAACAAGGAAAAUCAUUAUGCAGAUGAAAAAUUGAUUUUAUUCUCUUUUUAGGGUUUUAUGGUGAUCUCCAAUUUCAUGCAAAAGGCAAAAAGGAGAAAUAAU
RNAcentral lists this long non-coding RNA (273 nucleotides) under Lathyrus oleraceus (garden pea). RNAcentral's name for it is "Pisum sativum (pea) long non-coding RNA (PSAT_LNC037952)". Lineage: Eukaryota; Viridiplantae; Streptophyta; Magnoliopsida; Fabales; Fabaceae. The record is from RNAcentral.